UACGGAGGGGGCUAGCGUUGUUCGGAAUUACUGGGCGUAAAGCGCACGUAGGCGGCUUUGCAAGUUAGAGGUGAAAGCCCGGGGCUCAACUCCGGAAUUGCCUUUAAAACUGCAUCGCUAGAAUUGUGGAGAGGUAAGUGGAAUUCCGAGUGUAGAGGUGAAAUUCGUAGAUAUUCGGAAGAACACCAGUGGCGAAGGCGACUUACUGGACACGUAUUGACGCUGAGGUGCGAAAGCGUGGGGAGCAAACAGG
RNAcentral lists this ribosomal RNA (253 nucleotides) under uncultured bacterium. RNAcentral describes it as "partial 16S ribosomal RNA". It matches the Rfam family "Bacterial small subunit ribosomal RNA", at positions 524 to 776 of the family's 1533-position model. The record is from RNAcentral.